ACUCAAAGGAAUAGACGGGGGCCCGCACAAGCAGUGGAGUAUGUGGUUUAAUUCGACGCAACGCGAAGAACCUUACCAGGGCUUGACAUCCCCUGACGAAGGCAGAGAUGCCUUCUUCCCUUCGGGGACAGGGAGACAGGUGGUGCAUGGUUGUCGUCAGCUCGUGUCGUGAGAUGUUGGGUUAAGUCCCGCAACGAGCGCAACCCCUAUUGCCAGUUGCCAGCAUGAAAGAUGGGCACUCUGGCGAGACUGCCGUUGACAAAACGGAGGAAGGUGGGGAUGACGUCAAAUCAUCAUGCCCCUUAUGUCCUGGGCUACACACGUACUACAAUGGCAACAACAGAGGGCAGCCAGACCGCGAGGUUGAGCGAAUCCCAAAAUGUUGUCUCAGUUCAGAUUGCAGGCUGCAACUCGCCUGCAUGAAGUCGGAAUUGCUAGUAAUGGCAGGUCAGCAUACUGCCGUGAAUACGUUCCCGGGCCUUGCACACACCGCCCGU
RNAcentral lists this ribosomal RNA (497 nucleotides) under uncultured bacterium. Its description in RNAcentral is "bacterial SSU rRNA". It matches the Rfam family "Bacterial small subunit ribosomal RNA", at positions 899 to 1397 of the family's 1533-position model. The record is from RNAcentral.